GUGGGGAAUAUUGGACAAUGGGGGGAACCCUGAUCCAGCCAUGCCGCGUGUGUGAAGAAGGCCUUUUGGUUGUAAAGCACUUUAAGCGAGGAGGAGGCUACCGAGAUUAAUACUCUUGGAUAGUGGACGUUACUCGCAGAAUAAGCACCGGCUAACUCUGUGCCAGCAGCCGCGGUAAUACAGAGGGUGCAAGCGUUAAUCGGAUUUACUGGGCGUAAAGCGCGCGUAGGUGGCCAAUUAAGUCAAAUGUGAAAUCCCCGAGCUUAACUUGGGAAUUGCAUUCGAUACUGGUUGGCUAGAGUAUGGGAGAGGAUGGUAGAAUUCCAGGGGUAGCGGUGAAAUGCGUAGAGAUCUGGAGGAAUACCGAUGGCGAAGGCAGCCAUCUGGCCUAAUACUGACACUGAGGUGCGAAAGCAUGGGGAGCAAACAGGAUUAGAAACCCGGUAGUCC
Molecule: ribosomal RNA, 450 nt
Filed under: uncultured bacterium
Lineage: Bacteria
Description: partial 16S ribosomal RNA
Rfam family: Bacterial small subunit ribosomal RNA
Source: RNAcentral